Molecule: ribosomal RNA, 346 nt
Filed under: uncultured bacterium
Lineage: Bacteria
Description: partial 16S ribosomal RNA
Rfam family: Bacterial small subunit ribosomal RNA
Source: RNAcentral
CCUACGGGAGGCUGCAGUGAGGAAUAUUGGUCAAUGGGCGGAAGCCUGAACCAGCCAAGUAGCGUGCAGGAUGACGGCCCUACGGGGUGUAAACUGCUUUUAUACGGGAAUAACGCGACUUACGGGUAGGGCUUUGCAUGUACCGUAUGAAUAAGGACAGGCUAAUUCCGUGCCAGCAGCCGCGGUAAUACGGAAGGUCCGGGAGUUAUCCGGCUGUAUUGGGGUGAAAGGGAGCGUAGGCCGCAUGUCAAGCGUGAUGUGAAAUGUCCGUGCUUCACCCUGGCCUUGCCGCGCGCAAUGGCGUGCUUGAGUCCGCGGAAAGCAGGCGGAAUGAGUCGUGUAGCGG